GACGAACGCUGGCGGCGCGCUUAACACAUGCAAGUCGAACGGAAAGGCCUGCUUUCCCUUGUGGAUUGCGGGUACUCGAGUGGCGAACGGGUGAGUAGCACGUGAGUGAUCUGCCCCCAACUUGGGUAUAAGCCUGGGAAACUGGGUCUAAUUCCCGAUAGGACUGCAGGGUGGUGCCUGUGGUGGAAAACGAUUUUCUAGUGGUUGGGGAUGAGCUCGCGGCCUAUCAGCUUGUUGGUGGGGUAAUGGCCUACCAAGGCGGCGACGGGUAGCCGGCCUGAGAGGGUGGACGGCCACAUUGGGACUGAGAUACGGCCCAGACUCCUACGGGAGGCAGCAGUGGGGAAUAUUGCACAAUGGGCGGAAGCCUGAUGCAGCGACGCCGCGUGGGGGAUGACGGCCUUCGGGUUGUAAACUCCUUUCGACCGCGAGGAAGCCACCUGGUUGGAAGGGUGGUGACGGUAGUGGUAGAAGAAGCACCGGCUAACUACGUG
This 494-nucleotide ribosomal RNA is filed under the name uncultured bacterium. Its description in RNAcentral is "partial 16S ribosomal RNA". It matches the Rfam family "Bacterial small subunit ribosomal RNA", at positions 28 to 507 of the family's 1533-position model. The record is from RNAcentral.